RNAcentral lists this unclassified non-coding RNA (317 nucleotides) under air metagenome. RNAcentral describes it as "partial contains small subunit ribosomal RNA, internal transcribed spacer 1, and 5.8S ribosomal RNA". The stretch from base 1 to 46 matches the Rfam family "Eukaryotic small subunit ribosomal RNA", at positions 1786 to 1831 of the family's 1831-position model. The record is from RNAcentral.
AAGUCGUAACAAGGUUUCCGUAGGUGAACCUGCGGAAGGAUCAUUAUUGAAUGAACUUGGUGUGGUUGUUGCUGGCCCUUUCGGGGGCAUGUGCACACCCAUCAUCCUCAUCUCUCCACCUGUGCACCUCUUGUAGACUUGGAUUGACUUUCCGAGGCAACUCGGUCGGGAGGACUUGCUGGCACUAGCUGGCUUUCCUUGCAUUUCCAAGUCUAUGUUUUUUCAUAUACCCCAUUGAAUGUAACAGAAUGUAACAUAUUGGGCCUUUGUGCCUAUAAAAACUUAUACAACUUUCAGCAACGGAUCUCUUGGCUCUC